RNAcentral lists this ribosomal RNA (544 nucleotides) under Streptomyces calvus. Its description in RNAcentral is "bacterial SSU rRNA". It matches the Rfam family "Bacterial small subunit ribosomal RNA", at positions 102 to 659 of the family's 1533-position model. The record is from RNAcentral. Lineage: Bacteria; Bacillati; Actinomycetota; Actinomycetes; Kitasatosporales; Streptomycetaceae.
ACGGGUGAGUAACACGUGGGCAAUCUGCCCUGCACUCUGGGACAAGCCCUGGAAACGGGGUCUAAUACCGGAUACGACGCGCUCAGGCAUCUGAUGCGCGUGGAAAGCUCCGGCGGUGCAGGAUGAGCCCGCGGCCUAUCAGCUUGUUGGUGAGGUAACGGCUCACCAAGGCGACGACGGGUAGCCGGCCUGAGAGGGCGACCGGCCACACUGGGACUGAGACACGGCCCAGACUCCUACGGGAGGCAGCAGUGGGGAAUAUUGCACAAUGGGCGAAAGCCUGAUGCAGCGACGCCGCGUGAGGGAUGACGGCCUUCGGGUUGUAAACCUCUUUCAGCAGGGAAGAAGCGAAAGUGACGGUACCUGCAGAAGAAGCGCCGGCUAACUACGUGCCAGCAGCCGCGGUAAUACGUAGGGCGCGAGCGUUGUCCGGAAUUAUUGGGCGUAAAGAGCUCGUAGGCGGCUUGUCGCGUCGGUUGUGAAAGCCCGGGGCUUAACCCCGGGUCUGCAGUCGAUACGGGCAGGCUAGAGUUCGGUAGGGGAG